RNAcentral lists this ribosomal RNA (232 nucleotides) under uncultured bacterium. Its description in RNAcentral is "partial 16S ribosomal RNA". It matches the Rfam family "Bacterial small subunit ribosomal RNA", at positions 118 to 347 of the family's 1533-position model. The record is from RNAcentral.
UGAGUAACCUACCCUUAACUCUGGGAUAAGCCUGGGAAACUGGGUCUAAUACCGGAUAUGACUCCUCAUCGCAUGGUGGGGGGUGGAAAGCUUUUUGUGGUUUUGGAUGGGCUCGCGGCCUAUCAGCUUGUUGGUGAGGUAAUGGCUUACCAAGGCGACGACGGGUAGCUGGCCUGAGAGGGUGACCGGCCACACUGGGACUGAGUCACGGCCCAGACUCCUACGGGAGCAG